RNAcentral lists this ribosomal RNA (497 nucleotides) under uncultured bacterium. Its description in RNAcentral is "partial 16S ribosomal RNA". It matches the Rfam family "Bacterial small subunit ribosomal RNA", at positions 28 to 507 of the family's 1533-position model. The record is from RNAcentral.
GAUGAACGCUGGCGGCGUGCCUAAUACAUGCAAGUCGAGCGAACAGACGAGGAUCUUGCUCCUCUGACGUUAGCGGCGGACGGGUGAGUAACACGUGGAUAACCUACCUAUAAGACUGGGAUAACUUCGGGAAAGCGGAGCUAAUACCGGAUAAUAUAUUGAACCGCAUGGUUCAAUAGUGAAAGACGGUUUUGCUGUCACUUAUAGAUGGAUCCGCGCCGCAUUAGCUAGUUGGUAAGGUAACGGCUUACCAAGGCAACGAUGCGUAGCCGACCUGAGAGGGUGGUCGGCCACACUGGAACUGAGACACGGUCCAGACUCCUACGGGAGGCAGCAGUAGGGAAUCUUCCGCAAUGGGCGAAAGCCUGACGGAGCAACGCCGCGUGAGUGAUGAAGGUCUUCGGAUCGUAAAACUCUGUUAUUAGGGAAGAACAAAUGUGUAAGUAACUAUGCACGUCUUGACGGUACCUAAUCAGAAAGCCACGGCUAACUACGUG